AGCAAUCCUAGUGGCGAACGGCUGCGUAACACGUUGGUACCUGCCCCGAACUCAGGGAUAACCCUCCGAAAGGAGGGCUAAUACCGGAUGGUCGCGCGAGCGUAAAGCUUCGGCGGUUCGGGAGGGGCCUGCGGCCUAUCAGGUAGCUGGUGAGGUAACGGCUCACCAAGCCUAUGACGGGUAGCUGAUUUGAGAGAAUGAUCAGCCAGAAUGGAACUGAGACACGGUCCAUACUCCUACGGGAGGCAGCAGUGAGGAAUCUUCCGCAAUGGGCGAAAGCCUGACGGAGCGACACCGCGUGAAGGAUGAAGACCUUUUAGG
RNAcentral lists this ribosomal RNA (321 nucleotides) under uncultured bacterium. Its description in RNAcentral is "bacterial SSU rRNA". It matches the Rfam family "Bacterial small subunit ribosomal RNA", at positions 85 to 422 of the family's 1533-position model. The record is from RNAcentral.